GGUUUGAUGGAGCAGAGCGUUCAAUCGAGCAUCUUCCAGAACCUUUCGAGCCUGCUCCUGCAGGAACCGAACCUUCACACAAACAUUAAUAAGAUUUAGAAGAAGCUGAAUCUCCAAAAAAGAAAAAGAUUCACCUGUUCUGCUAUGAUUGAGAGUUUACUACCAGCUGUAGCUCUAGUAAACUGAUCAGCUGUCUGUAGCUGGCUGGCCAA
Molecule: long non-coding RNA, 212 nt
Organism: Eurytemora carolleeae
Lineage: Eukaryota; Metazoa; Arthropoda; Copepoda; Calanoida; Temoridae
Exons: 2
Source: RefSeq, a predicted model, not a curated record